UAUCGUCGACGCUGAUAUUUUAUUAAGACUCGUCUUUCCUCGUUGCUUAUUGGAGCCCAAAAAGGGCUCCUUAAUUCGGAGCGAGGCUGGCGAGCGCAAUGUGGCAAAGCGGCGGCAUUGGCGCCCAUGCGGCGAACAAUCCGUGGAUGAAAUUGAUGGGCAUCGUCCACAAGGAAAGGAGACACCACGAUUCGGGUUCAGUUGCCGCCGCUGCAUCCGGGGUUCAGGGAUCGGCUACCACUGGGAGCAACGAUCGCACCCUCAAUCAAUCGCUGCCGAAACUCAGCAGCCAGGACGAGGAUGGGCCGAACCCUCACACCCAAUACACAGGCGUCACGCACUUCGAGCCCAUACCGCACGAUCAUGACUUUUGUGAGAGGGUCGUCAUCAACGUGAGUGGAUUACGGUUUGAGACACAACUACGCACGCUAAACCAAUUCCCGGACACGCUGCUUGGCGAUCCGGCAAGGCGGCUUCGAUAUUUCGAUCCGCUUCGCAACGAAUAUUUCUUCGACCGGAACCGGCCUUCCUUCGAUGCGAUACUUUAUUAUUAUCAAAGUGGUGGUCGACUUCGCCGGCCAGUCAACGUUCCCCUCGAUGUGUUCUCCGAGGAAAUCAAAUUUUACGAAUUGGGCGAACUUGCCACCAACAAAUUCAGGGAGGACGAGGGCUUCAUUAAAGAAGAGGAGAAGCCGCUGCCGUCGCACGAGUUCCAGAAGAAGGUCUGGUUGUUGUUCGAGUACCCGGAGAGCUCGCAGGGAGCCCGGGUUGUCGCCAUAAUAUCCGUGUUCGUGAUUCUUCUCUCGAUCGUAAUCUUCUGCCUAGAGACCCUGCCAGAAUUUAAGCAUUAUAAGGUCUUUAACACGACGACGAACGGCACGAAGAUCGAGGAGGACGAAGUGCCGGACAUAACGGACCCAUUCUUCCUAAUAGAGACUAUUUGUAUCAUCUGGUUCACGUUCGAGUUGUCCGUGCGCUUCCUCGCCUGCCCAAAUAAAUUUAACUUCUUCCGUGACGUAAUGAACAUCAUCGACAUCAUCGCGAUCAUUCCUUACUUCAUCACCCUCGCCACAGUAGUGGCCGAGGAAGAAGACACACUUAAUCUACCAAAGGCACCGGUUAGCCCUCAGGACAAGAGCACGAAUCAAGCAAUGUCCCUGGCGAUUUUACGAGUCAUCAGGCUCGUCAGGGUGUUCCGGAUAUUCAAGCUGUCCAGGCACAGUAAAGGCCUCCAGAUACUUGGCCGUACUCUGAAGGCCUCUAUGAGGGAACUCGGUCUUCUCAUCUUUUUCCUUUUUAUCGGUGUGGUGCUAUUUUCAUCGGCGGUAUACUUCGCGGAGGCCGGCUCCGAGAAUUCAUUCUUCAAGUCCAUUCCGGACGCGUUCUGGUGGGCCGUUGUCACGAUGACGACCGUGGGCUAUGGUGACAUGACGUAUGAUGCCCGUGGGAGUCUGGGGGAAAAUCGUUGGUUCCCUUUGUGCGAUCGCGGGUGUAUUGACGAUCGCGUUACCCGUCCCCGUCAUCGUCUCCAACUUCAACUACUUCUAUCACCGUGAGACUGACCAGGAAGAGAUGCAGUCACAGAACUUCAAUCACGUGACUAGCUGUCCGUAUCUCCCUGGCACGUUAGGUCAGCACAUGAAGAAGAGCUCGAUGUCGGAGUCGUCGUCGGAUAUAAUGGAGCUGGAAGAAGGCAUUCUACUGGCGCAACCAGAUAUGACGAAGAAGCCCAACUGCAACCCUCGCCACAAUAAUAAUAUUAAUCCAGCCUGCAUGAGCAUCGAGACUGACGUCUGACUACUAGUGAAGGAGACGGUGGCAGCGUGGUGGCCGAUGUUGGGACAGUUGUCGAAGAGCAGCUGUAACUCCCUACGGUGCCUAACGUAGACCUCCUUCAUAAUAAAAAAUCACACACAAACACACAAA
Molecule: unclassified non-coding RNA, 1926 nt
Filed under: Polistes canadensis
Lineage: Eukaryota; Metazoa; Arthropoda; Insecta; Hymenoptera; Vespidae
Description: potassium voltage-gated channel protein Shaker, transcript variant X4
Rfam family: Potassium channel RNA editing signal (bases 1413-1533)
Source: RNAcentral